RNAcentral lists this ribosomal RNA (465 nucleotides) under uncultured bacterium. RNAcentral's name for it is "partial 16S ribosomal RNA". It matches the Rfam family "Bacterial small subunit ribosomal RNA", at positions 338 to 795 of the family's 1533-position model. The record is from RNAcentral.
CCUACGGGUGGCAGCAGUGGGGAAUUUUGGACAAUGGGCGCAAGCCUGAUCCAGCUAUUCCGCGUGUGGGAUGAAGGCCCUCGGGUUGUAAACCACUUUUGUAGAGAACGAAAAGAAACCAUCGAAUAAAUAGUGUUGCUGACGGUACUCUAAGAAUAAGCACCGGCUAACUACGUGCCAGCAGCCGCGGUAAUACGUAGGGUGCGAGCGUUAAUCGGAAUUACUGGGCGGAAAGGGUGCGCAGGCGGGUGAGUAAGACAGAUGUGAAAUCCCCGGGCUUAACGUGGGAAUGGCAUAUGUGACUGCUAGGCUAGAGGGUGUCAGAGGGAGGUGGAAUUCCACGUGUAGCAGUGAAAUGCGGAGAUAUGUGGAAGAACACCGAUGGCGAAGGCAGCCUCCUGGGACAUAACUGACGCUCAGGCACGAAAGCGUGGGGAGCAAACAGGAUUAGAUACCCCAGUAGUC